GAUCUGACGAGGUCGUCUUUACCAGGGUAGAGGUCAGUCACAACGCCCAUUUUCCAAUUGUUGAGUUUAAAAUGAGUCCUAAAUGAGAACUACGUCUACUCGGACACUGUAUAGUUUGGUAAUUUCGUCUUCUUGCAAUGAUGUUCUCGCAAUCCUGUAAGGUACUCAAUUUGCCAUCGCUUCCAGUAAGUCUGCAUUUAUGUAUUCUUUGAUGCCUGUAAUGAUGGAUUGGCAAGUUUGAGGUGUUGAAACUCGACGUGUAGUAUGAGGUUGUUUGUGGUUCAUAGCGGUGGACAUAUUAUUCUGGUUACAAGGUUUGUAAUAAUGUUGAUAAUUUCAUGUUUUCUUGUGAACAGGUUAAACAUUACAACAUUGAACAUUGUGCUUUUACUAUCGUCGUUUCCGAGUGUUGAUACGUUAAGCAUUUCUUUGUGUACUGUUCCCUGGAGUUGUCAGAUUCAAGCCUUUCUCUCGCAUUUCUAUUUCUUGGUCUAGUGCCGUUCGUAGAUCGUUAAGACAGCUAUCUGCUAAGGGGUUAUUUCUAAAAAAUUAAGGGAAAUACAAAAUAGCGGAAAUGAAGUUUUUGAAUUUCCCGUCAGUAAUCCAGCCAUUGUCCAGUUUUUGUCAAGAGAACAAUUUACUAUAGGACGAUUCCAUGUAACGGACAUUACACUGUUUACCCAUAAUCCAAGAAGAGGUUUAUUUUAUUUAAAAUUGAUCAUUCAUAUGCAGCGUGUAGUAGAGCAACCACUUUCAGACCGCUACCCAGUAUCCCCAAUGGAAAGGCAGUGGUACAGGUGGAUUUCACUGAAUAGGGGGGUCUGAAAGUGGUUGCUCUGUUCCCUCUUUAUGAAAACAUGUCUGAGGAACUCAGGCAACUUCUCCCUAUGGCUUUCAAGCGCAGCAAGCACUGUUCCUGAUCUGGCGCAUUUCAUUAGCUUCUUCUUUGGUGCACUUGUGGUCCCGUCAUCAUUUCCUUUCCUUCUCUUGUGGUUAGGCUCAUUCGUAGUCUUCUCCCGUGACCACUCACACCAAAAGACCUCUGUGUUCAGAGCAGGCCCUUGAAAACUUGCAAACCAUUCGGAGAUCUUCUCUGAUCACUCUUCUUCUGAUUCUGAAAAAUGUAUGACAAAAUGUUGUGAAGUGUGAUACAAACCUGCUUGUGUAUGCAGGAAAAUCAAGGACGGCCUUGUGCAGUGCAUCGCAAUGGAGGAUAAUUUUGUCAUGAUACAUGCAAAGGAAAGCUGGCUUUAGCUCUGCAAACUUGGACUUCCCAAUUUUCUCAUCUGGAUAUUCAAGCUUGAAAAGGGAGUGUGUUUCUUUCACUGUAUUGUACAGGUGCCUUUUCUGUAGCUGGAUUUUCUCUUCUUUUUGCCAGACUGUUAUUUAGUCUUUCUUCCCAGGUGCUUGCCUUGGAAUGUCAUCACGGCGAUAGAACUGUUCACUUUUUUCACAGUAUCGUCGCUUGUCACGUUUUUUGGCUGGACACUUGAUUUGAUAAGCCCUUCCCUUUUUGCAAGUUUCUCAACAACCACUUCCUACUUUCUUUGGCUAAAAGACAAGGACUUUGCAGCCCUUGAAACAGCUUUCCCAAGCGACCUUGAUUUAUAAACUGGAUGUUUUCCAUCAUCAUCUUCUGGUGCAGUCUUCUUGUUAGCCCUGAACUUCGCCACUCUUUCUCUGUUCAGCCUACUUCUAUGGGCUUUGAUUUCAGCACUGACUCCUUGAUUUUUCUCUCUUAGUCUUGCAGCCUGUUUUCUUUUCUUUUUUUAAAGGUUAGAACAGAAUUAUUGAAUUGAUUAUGCAGUCACUACAUUUACAGUCAGUGAGAUAAGCCACUCAAGACUAUGUAACCACCCCUAGUCAGUGUAACCACCCUAACAACCUUUACACAGGAAGCCCAAAAGGAAGCAUCUCUUCUGUAAUGUCCCUUACGGAAAAAAUGUGAAAAAAAAAGAAAAUAAUGUAGGAAGAAAAUAUAUGUCAAAGCUUUAGAUUUAAAAUUAGGAGAGGAUCUGAAUAUCCAGUAAAGACAUCUUUAAUAAGACAUUACAUAACGGACGUAACGGACAUUACUUCCUACACCUGGCAUUUUCAUAUAGAAUUGAAAAAUCUGUCUUAAACAAAACCAUGAUAGCAAACAUAUAAGGCUUCUUUUAAUGUUUGAAUAUAUAUCUGAGAACUUUUUGACAGGAUUUGGUAGAAUAGUUUAAUAAAUAUAAUCAGUUAAACACAGGUGAAAUUUGGAACUUGUUAACUUAACAUUGAGUACCAAUAAGAAUUUGGCAAAAAAAUAUAUACAUUUUUAGAAAACCAAACAAUAUAUACAUUUUUAUAAACUUCAAAGUUUAAAUUGUCAUUUUUGUUAAAUUAAAGCUUGAUAAAUAUAAGUUAAAAAAUUCACGGAAAGUGCAUUUAAAUAUGGAAUUACCCUAUACCUUAACAAAAAGCUAUAAAAAUUAGAAUUCAAUGGCAUGGAGUAUUAAACUAAGCUCUAAUGUGAAAUUCCGGAAAGCAGUCUCCCACGCACAAGUGAACAUCGCACUUUCGGCACGCAUUGCACGUUUCCUUUGCACGUUUAACUGCCUUAUUUCCUGCCUUUAGACGCUUGUUCUUAUUUAGGCAGUUCUUACAGGAUUUCGCCUUGUUUGCCAAUUUCUCAGAAAAGUACUCCACAUCCGCGAUAACUGGCAGAACACGCAUACGUCCGGCUCGCUGUCUUCCCUCGUAACUUCCAAUGAGGCUCUUCAUGAGUUUUUAAGCUUUGCUUCAGCACUCUGGCCAUGGAGCUGCUAUGCGUUGAUAAUUGAGAGAGCCCAUGUAAAAAUAAAAUAAAUAUUUCCACCAUUUCACAUGUCGCCUCAAGGAUACCGUGUAAUAUGAGCGAUGCUGAUCGCUGAGGUCAACGCCGCCCAUGUGUUUGCAGUAUAGAGAGAUACUUGGCGACCUGUUGAUCUCCACUUAGGUGAAUUGUCCGUUGACUUUUCUCCUCCGGGUCACUGUGUCACCCCCUCGGCGUCGCACAUUGUUGGCAACACAGUCACUGGUUUGUUUGCCGCUUUAUCUCACCAUAAAACAACUACUGUGUUGUCUUUCUGUGCGAAGGCCGAGUGGCCUUGAUUAGCAAGCUUUACUUUUAUCAAGCACAGGGGGAAAUCACGGCGGUUCUUUCUCAGUGUUCCACAGGCGAAAAUUUGGCUCUUUGCAGCUCUCAAAAGAGUCCAACACUAGAGAAAUAAUUGUCCAUAAAGACAAAAUACCUGCAGUUCUUGAUCGGCGACACGGGCUAAAUAAUGAUGUUGUUUACACUGCCGCUGUCACGUUGGUUGGGAUUUUUGCCGGUGUAGAUGCCGGUGUAGACGUUAUCAAGAUUAAUGUGGUCUCGAAUAAACCCUCACAACAUUGAAUUAUGUGGCGUAGCUCCCAUCCUGAUCAACGGCAUGUCGUUUGCACACCAAACAGACAGCCAGAGCCAUAUACAGUCACUUGCGAUGGAACCCAACACAAAUGUCAGAUUCCAAGGAAUUAUCCAGAUAUACCACUGAACACAGGGAAGACGUGUGGACAAUAUUCCAGGAUUUACGGAACGUGAAAGAAAUCCAUGACGCCAUAUUUGCAAACUACAACAGGCCCCCUAGGGAGAAGGCGGUACGAGAUUAGAUGUGUGGAUGUCAGGAAUCCCGAGUUCGAUGCAGUGGCAGUCAAGUCUCAGGGUUGGAUGCAGGAUUUCUAAGAAGUUUCGGGGACCGUUCCUAACAGUUUGUAUCUGAAGUGGACCCCGCAGGAUCACCGAAUGAGUCUUUCCUUAGAACGAGGAGGGAAAUACAGUUAAUUAGCUGUAUAAAAAAUAUUGACAUGGGUGGAGUUGUAUAUUUUUAAAAUGGAGGGACCAGCCUUAGGAAGUAAAGUAGCAGCUGACCUAGUGUUAUAUGAACGCUUUGAGUGAGGGCUUAUUUAUUAAAAUAUGUACAAGAUCCAGAA
Molecule: long non-coding RNA, 3981 nt
Organism: Nematostella vectensis (starlet sea anemone)
Lineage: Eukaryota; Metazoa; Cnidaria; Anthozoa; Actiniaria; Edwardsiidae
Exons: 3
Source: RefSeq, a predicted model, not a curated record